GGUUUCUGUAGGUGGACAUGCGGAAGGAUCAUUACCGAGUGAGGGCCCUCUGGGUCCAACCUCCCACCCGUGUUUAUUUUACCUUGUUGCUUCGGCGGGCCCGCCUUAACUGGCCGCCGGGGGGCUCACGCCCCCGGGCCCGCGCCCGCCGAAGACACCCUCGAACUCUGUCUGAAGAUUGUAGUCUGAGUGAAAAUAUAAAUUAUUUAAAACUUUCAACAACGGAUCUCUUGGUUCCGGCAUCGAUGAAGAACGCAGCGAAAUGCGAUACGUAAUGUGAAUUGCAAAUUCAGUGAAUCAUCGAGUCUUUGAACGCACAUUGCGCCCCCUGGUAUUCCGGGGGGCAUGCCUGUCCGAGCGUCAUUGCUGCCCUCAAGCACGGCUUGUGUGUUGGGCCCCGUCCUCCGAUCCCGGGGGACGGGCCCGAAAGGCAGCGGCGGCACCGCGUCCGGUCCUCGAGCGUAUGGGGCUUUGUCACCCGCUCUGUAGGCCCGGCCGGCGCCUGCCGAUCAACCCAAAUUUUUUAUCCAGGU
Molecule: ribosomal RNA, 533 nt
Filed under: Penicillium mononematosum
Lineage: Eukaryota; Fungi; Ascomycota; Eurotiomycetes; Eurotiales; Aspergillaceae
Description: eukaryotic LSU rRNA
Rfam family: 5.8S ribosomal RNA (bases 211-363)
Source: RNAcentral